Molecule: ribosomal RNA, 253 nt
Filed under: uncultured bacterium
Lineage: Bacteria
Description: partial 16S ribosomal RNA
Rfam family: Bacterial small subunit ribosomal RNA
Source: RNAcentral
UACGGAGGGUGCAAGCGUUAUCCGGAUUUACUGGGUUUAAAGGGUGCGUAGGUGGGUCUGUAAGUCAGUGGUGAAAUCUCCGGGCUUAACUCGGAAACUGCCAUUGAUACUAUAGGUCUUGAAUUAUCUGGAGGUGAGCGGAAUAUGUCAUGUAGCGGUGAAAUGCUUAGAUAUGACAUAGAGCACCAAUUGCGAAGGCAGCUCACUACGGAUAUAUUGACACUGAGGCACGAAAGCGUGGGGAUCAAACAGG